GUAACGAGCGCAACCCUUGUCCUUAGUUACCAGCACGUUAUGGUGGGCACUCUAAGGAGACUGCCGGUGACAAACCGGAGGAAGGUGGGGAUGACGUCAAGUCAUCAUGGCCCGUUACGGCCUGGGCUACACACGUGCUACAAUGGUCGGUACAAAGGGUUGCCAAGCCGCGAGGGUGGAGCUAAUACCCAUAAAACCGAUCGUAGUCCGGAUCGCAGUCUGCAACUCGACUGCGUGAAGUCGGAAUCGCUAGUAAUCGUGAAUCAGAAUGUCACGGUGAAUACGUUCCCGGGCCUU
This 297-nucleotide ribosomal RNA is filed under the name uncultured Pseudomonas sp. RNAcentral describes it as "partial 16S ribosomal RNA". It matches the Rfam family "Bacterial small subunit ribosomal RNA", at positions 1089 to 1382 of the family's 1533-position model. Lineage: Bacteria; Pseudomonadati; Pseudomonadota; Gammaproteobacteria; Pseudomonadales; Pseudomonadaceae. The record is from RNAcentral.